Herpailurus yagouaroundi (jaguarundi) is the source of this 375-nucleotide long non-coding RNA. RefSeq lists it as uncharacterized. Lineage: Eukaryota; Metazoa; Chordata; Mammalia; Carnivora; Felidae. The transcript is spliced from 2 exons. The record is from RefSeq and is a predicted model, not a curated record.
AACAAUAAGUAGCAAAACUUAGGCUAAAAACCAUAUCUUCUGACUCCAGCAUGAUUUUCAAUCAGUUCCAUGAGGUGAUUCUCCUCGGUGAGUGGAUAUUCCGCGUAACAAUUCAGGAUCCAACCUCCUUCUAUCACAUGGCUGUGAUUUAUGCUGAAGUUUUAAAGAUGUAUACUUGGAUAAAAAAGCAUACGGAAGGGACAACUGCUUCUUAACCAACCCAAAAGAUAACAUUAUCCUCUUAAAGCAGAUGUCAUUAAAGUCAUCCAUUUGAUAACUGUUUCUCAUCAUCAAACGCAAAGUCACCCUGGCGUGAACAAAUACGCUGGAUAUGUGUAAAUAUACUAAUCCAUUAUGGAAGAUCCUUGAAGUCAA